UAAGACGUGGGAUAACGUUACGGGAAACCGGAGCUAAUACCGGAUAAUAUAUUGAACCGCAUGGUUCAAUAGUGAAAGACGGUUUUGCUGUCACUUAUAGAUGGAUCCGCGCCGCAUUAGCUAGUUGGUAAGGUAACGGNCUUACCAAGGCAACGAUGCGUAGCCGACCUUGAGAGGGUGAUCGGCCACACUGGAACUGAGACACGGUCCAGACUCCUACGGGAGGCAGCAGAC
RNAcentral lists this ribosomal RNA (234 nucleotides) under uncultured Staphylococcus sp. RNAcentral describes it as "partial 16S ribosomal RNA". It matches the Rfam family "Bacterial small subunit ribosomal RNA", at positions 133 to 354 of the family's 1533-position model. The record is from RNAcentral. Lineage: Bacteria; Bacillati; Bacillota; Bacilli; Caryophanales; Staphylococcaceae.